GCCCGCGUACCGGUGCGCUCUUCUAAAGCGCUAACCGUAAUGGAUGAUGCUGGUUCGAUUCCAGCCGCGGGCUCCA
This 76-nucleotide transfer RNA is filed under the name Brucella haematophila. Its description in RNAcentral is "tRNA-OTHER". The record is from RNAcentral. Lineage: Bacteria; Pseudomonadati; Pseudomonadota; Alphaproteobacteria; Hyphomicrobiales; Brucellaceae.